This 76-nucleotide transfer RNA is filed under the name Thermotogota bacterium. RNAcentral's name for it is "Thermotogae bacterium (oil production facility metagenome) tRNA-Lys". It matches the Rfam family "tRNA". Rfam says of the family: Transfer RNA (tRNA) molecules are approximately 80 nucleotides in length. Their secondary structure includes four short double-helical elements and three loops (D, anti-codon, and T loops). Lineage: Bacteria; Thermotogati; Thermotogota. The record is from RNAcentral.
GGGCCGCUAGCUCAACAGGUAGAGCGGCUGAUUCUUAAUCAUUACGCUGCAGGUUCGAGUCCUGCCCGGCCCCCCA